RNAcentral lists this ribosomal RNA (252 nucleotides) under uncultured bacterium. Its description in RNAcentral is "partial 16S ribosomal RNA". It matches the Rfam family "Bacterial small subunit ribosomal RNA", at positions 57 to 305 of the family's 1533-position model. The record is from RNAcentral.
GCAAGUCGAGCGGUAACAGGUAGUAGCUUGCUACUUCGCUGACGAGCGGCGGACGGGUGAGUAAUGCCUAGGAAAUUGCCUUGAUGUGGGGGAUAACCAUUGGAAACGAUGGCUAAUACCGCAUAAUGCCUACGGGCCAAAGAGGGGGAUCUUCGGACCUCUCGCGUCAAGAUAUGCCUAGGUGGGAUUAGCUAGUUGGUGAGGUAAUGGCUCACCAAGGCGACGAUCCCUAGCUGGUCUGAGAGGAUGAUC